CCAACGCCUCACUACUCAUCUCUGUCUAAGACCUCAUCAGAAUGGCCUUCACUGUCCAUAUUUCUACAAACACUUUGUUCACAGAAAUUGAGGCUUUUUUCCAGUCUUCACUACCAAACGUGCUCUUGAACUUAGGUUUAGGGUUAAAAUCUAGUUAUUAUAAUUAGUAUUUCCACCAUACAAAUACAAUAGGCAUACCUAAUCUAAAAGCAUAGAUAAUGGUAAAAGAAGUGGGAAGUGAGUCUUGAUUAUUUAUUGCCUUUAUUUUAACAUAAUUAAUUUAACUGUAAUGAA
RNAcentral lists this long non-coding RNA (294 nucleotides) under Homo sapiens (human). Its description in RNAcentral is "non-protein coding lnc-CMPK2-20:2". The record is from RNAcentral. Lineage: Eukaryota; Metazoa; Chordata; Mammalia; Primates; Hominidae.